Molecule: long non-coding RNA, 1196 nt
Filed under: Sorghum bicolor (sorghum)
Lineage: Eukaryota; Viridiplantae; Streptophyta; Magnoliopsida; Poales; Poaceae
Description: long non-coding RNA (SBIC_LNC002637)
Source: RNAcentral
CUUCACUCUUCAAGCAAGGUAACAUCUUAAGGUACUUGACUAUCACUUUUAUAAGCUUCUCCUUGGUUCUAGCGUUCAUAUAAAUAAAAGAGACAAACAUGUAUGAUUUACAACUCUAGAUUAACCAACCCAACUGAUUCAACAUGUUUAGUCCUUUAACCCUUGUUCUUAGUACUACCUCCAUGAUCCCACACUCCUAAUCAUAUGAGCUAAAAUGUUACACAUUCAAUGAUUGAGAGAUAUAAAGAAAAAGACAUAUACAUAGAUAGAUUAUCUUUCCAUAAGGUUGAGCGAUCUGAUCUGACAAAUGUUAUAAGUGCUACACUAAUAAACUUUUCAUCCAUCAACUUUGUCUUGCUCACUAUGCUUAGGGUUAGAGAAGAACAAAUACACUUUAGGUUCUGUUGGUGUUUUCCACCAACCGGACCCAUGCACUUGAUCUCUGCCUUGUCUCUAUGAGCAGGUACACUUUGAGCAAAACACAGAGGAGUUUUAUAACUCUCAGACUCUACCAAGUGAAGGACCUGGAUCUACGAGCACAAACACACUGAGCAGGUUACUGCCAACGCCGCACUUCGAACUGCUGGGCAAACGAAGAACAUGGGUGACACCGUAUCAAGAGGUGCAGACGUCAAGGUCCGCACCUGAAUCAAAUGACGCACCUGAAGAAUGAACACGGUGAGAAGUCUUGUUAAGAAGACUUAAAGCAUUGAACCCUCGCCGAAAGGUAAGAUCAGUAGUUAUCCAUAUUUAUCCUUUCUGCAUUCCCUUUUCCCUUUAAUUAUUUACUUUCCUUAAAUAGAUUAUUAGUUAAUCAUGCUAUGUUGAAAAGAAAAUAAAAAUGUUAAAAAAUACUAAGCCCCAUGUGAGUAUACGAGUGGCAUAAAACCCAUAAGUACCUUCACUGUGGUGGCAUAAAAAUAAAAUAAAUAUUUCUUUUCUGCUUUAUAAAAUAAAAAUAUAAAAACAGGGAGUAAUAUUUAUUGAGGAAGCUCAACAUGAUGAAGGCUAGAUAUUUAUGCUAACACUUAAUUAGUUCCACAAGCUUUGUUGUCUAUUUGAGCUCCACAGAAUUUAAGAAUUAAGAAGACUAGCAGACGGAGGACAUUCUAAUCGCUGUCAGAAUGCUGCUGACUUUCCAAUACACCUCUGCCACCUGCUAGCUACAUCAAGAGAAAUUACGUCAAAAUUCAGCU